AUUGAACGCUGGCGGCAGGCCUAACACAUGCAAGUCGAGCGGAGCGGGGACGGGUGAGUAACACGUGGGUAACCUCCCAUCAGAGGGGAUAACACUUGGAAACAGGUGCUAAACCGAUACUGAUGGAUGGACCCGCGGUGCAUUAGCUAGUUGGUGGGGUAACGGCUCACCAAGGCCACGAUGCAUAGCCGACCUGAAAGUGUGAACAGCCAAACUGGGACGGGGACACGGCGCAGACUCCUCCGGGAGGCAGCAGUAGGGAAUCUUCGGCAAUGGACGAAAGUCUGACCGAGCAACGCCGCGUGAGUGAAGAAGGUUUUCGGAUCGUAAAACUCUGUUGUUAGAGAAGCGGUAUCUAACCGGAAAGCCACGGCUAACUACGUGCCAGCAGCCGCGGUAAUUC
Molecule: ribosomal RNA, 403 nt
Filed under: uncultured bacterium
Lineage: Bacteria
Description: partial 16S ribosomal RNA
Rfam family: Bacterial small subunit ribosomal RNA
Source: RNAcentral